RNAcentral lists this ribosomal RNA (460 nucleotides) under uncultured bacterium. Its description in RNAcentral is "partial 16S ribosomal RNA". It matches the Rfam family "Bacterial small subunit ribosomal RNA", at positions 338 to 795 of the family's 1533-position model. The record is from RNAcentral.
CCUACGGGAGGCAGCAGUGAGGAAUAUUGGUCAAUGGCCGGAAGGCUGAACCAGCCAUGCCGCGUGAAGGUCAGUGCCCUAUGGGCGUUAAACUUCUUUUGUGCGGGAGCAAUAAUGGUCACGUGUGGCCCGACGAGAGUACCGUACGAAUAAGCAUCGGCUAACUCCGUGCCAGCAGCCGCGGUAAUACGGGGGAUGCAAGCGUUAUCCGGAUUUAUUGGGUUUAAAGGGUGCGUAGGCUGGGAGGUAAGUCAGAGGUGAAAUGCCCCGGCGCAACGGGGUGAAGUGCCAUUGAUACUGCCUUGCUGGAGUGCGUGUGAGGUGGGAGGAAUGUGUGGUGUAGCGGUGAAAUGCAUAGAUAUCACACAGAACACCGAUUGCGAAGGCAGCUCACGAGUCCGCGAUUGACGCUGAUGCACGAAAGCGUGGGUAUCAAACAGGAUUAGAUACCCGUGUAGUC